UACAGAGGAGCCAAGCGUUGUCCGGAUUGACUGGGCGUAAAGCGCACGCAGGCGGUUGCGCGCGUGGGGGGUGAAAUCUGGCCGCUUAACGGCCAGGCGCCAUCCCAUACGGCGCGACUGGAGCGAUGCAGAGGUCGGUGGAAUUGCCGGUGUAGUGGUGAAAUGCGUAGAUAUCGGGAGGAACACCUGUGGCGAAAGCGGCGCACUGGACCACAACUGACGCUGAGGCGCGAAAGCUAGGGGAGCAAACAGG
This 253-nucleotide ribosomal RNA is filed under the name uncultured bacterium. Its description in RNAcentral is "partial 16S ribosomal RNA". It matches the Rfam family "Bacterial small subunit ribosomal RNA", at positions 524 to 776 of the family's 1533-position model. The record is from RNAcentral.